CCAGGCUCCACCCACAAAUUCCUGGCGGUUCCAUUCAAUUUAACGGCUUGUUUGUAAGGUUUUGGCAUACGUUUUAUGCUAUUUAAAACGAUAAUCAUAAACACCACAUCGAAAAUCAACACCUUUCUCCUGCAAGGUGACGAUGUAGAGCCCCAGCCUCCUGUCGGGGAAGUAACGCGUGAGCUCCUCCACCCCCAGCAGGGCGCCGCUCCCCAGGCCACCUCCCUCCAGGAAGCUCCUGCAAGAGAGCAUUUUCAGCGGUCCCCGCGGUCAAGGUCAGCACGAUGACACGUCGUCUCCUCCUCUCCUGUUGCACGCCAUUGCUAGUUAAACCCCUGCCAGCUGUUAACAAUGGCAUGUUGUGU
Non-coding RNA from Doryrhamphus excisus (bluestripe pipefish), 365 nucleotides. The record is from RefSeq and is a predicted model, not a curated record. NCBI's taxonomy places the organism in Eukaryota, Metazoa, Chordata, Actinopteri, Syngnathiformes, Syngnathidae.